Peromyscus leucopus (white-footed mouse) is the source of this 1830-nucleotide long non-coding RNA. RefSeq lists it as uncharacterized. The transcript is spliced from 4 exons. The record is from RefSeq and is a predicted model, not a curated record. NCBI's taxonomy places the organism in Eukaryota, Metazoa, Chordata, Mammalia, Rodentia, Cricetidae.
GCCUCGCCCCUUCUCACACCUCGGAUGCUCCCUUCUCCGCCUAUGUGACUCUGAAGUCCCCGUGUCCCAACGUAAACGCCAUGUGCUCCCCCAAGAAACUUCCGGGGACCCCACUCCUGUGCCACCUCCUUUCUCCACACCCAGAAACUUGCCCUGUGUCCAUGAGGAUGGCACUGGGAUGCAGAGAACAGAAGAAAACCUGACUUACAGCCACUUCGAUGACAAGGCGGAGUGGGAGAAAUGCCUUAUGGUGCCCAAGAAUAGAGAUGAGAGAAGACAGAAGAAAGAGAAUAUGAAAAGGCACAACCUGCCUGUCCUCUGGACUCACUAAGUAUGGCUGCAGGAGUCUGGAGGAAACACCACCCAGGGAUAACCAUCAGUCCUUCACUUGGGCCUGAGAAGUGAAUUUCUGUCAUCAAAGGGCCAGAUCUUCACCCUCAGAUCUCAGAAUAAACUCUCUUUUGCAAAACUCAGCUCUUCGGUGAUCUGCAAACUGUGCUGAGAGCUUGGCCCGGUAACACUACCAUCCACUACCUCUGAUCCUCGCCUCUGUAGGGAUGGUACCACCGUAAGGGUCCCCAAAAUAUAUAAGGGCAUCCCUGGGAACAAAGCAAAGAGGCACGGCAGAGCACGGCUGUGAGAAGCACCUUCGCCUCCCACUGAAUGAAAAUCAGACCCAACUCAGCUCCCAGGUCACAAACUGAAUUCACUCUGGUGAACUUACAUCUUGCUCCCAACUUCCCCGCGCAGGAGAAGAAACCCAAGGCAAAGACCCACGUGUCCAGGUUCCUGAAGCUCAAUUUCGACAAACCAAGUACCAAGUCAAAUAAUGAUGGUGAUAAUAUUAUUAACAAAUGAAUUAAGAGAUGCUGCACAAAUGUCGUGUUAUUCUAAAUGAGAUCAAGGCAAGAAUUUAAGGCCCUUUUCCCUCCACAACACUCAGUGGACAACUUAAUAAAUUCAUAUCUGCUUGUUGGAUAUUAAAGAGUAAUUUCUCAUUCUGAUCCAGUUGCCUGGAAACCCCUGCCUCCGUUCACCUCUUUGAGCUGAAGAUAACUGGUAUGCUCUUUUAAAUCUCAGGUAUCAGCUGGGAAGGUAGAGGCAUAAAUCAUCGCCUUUCACUAAUCUCACAGGCGAAAGCAGUUCAUCAGUCAUUAAUUUUUCUCCCUUCUGCACUGACUUGGGACGUGUCUAGACUAGACAGAAUCGUAGCGGGUAGGGGACUAGGGGACACCUAUUCUGGCCUGUGUUUUCACCUGGAAAAUAUGACAAGAGGGAUUUGAUUAUCCCAAAAUCCUGAGAUCUACUGACCUCUGCUAUGGUCUGAAUGUACACACACACACACACACUCUCACACAUACACACACACACACACACACACACACACACACUCAUAUGCUAAAACGUAACCACUGUGUACGUAAGAAUUGGAGACUGUUUAGAGGUGAUUAAAUCAUGAGAAAGCAGGGUCUUCAUGAAUGGGCUUAGUGACCAUUUAAAAAGGGUACAUGAAUGAACCCAGAGGACAUUAAAUUAAAAGGAUACAUCAGGAAUAGAAAGACAAAUUAGGGAAAAGCAUUAAAAGUUGAACUUGGGCCAGCAAGGUGGCUCACUGGGUAAAGCACUUGCCACCGAGUCUGAUGACCUGAACUUGAUCGACAGGACCCACAAACCCAGGGACAGUUCCCACAAGUGUUCCUCUGACCUCCACACAGACAUCAUGGCACACUCACACAUACAUACAAACAUAGUUACAUAAUGCAUACAUACCUGUAACUUUAAUAGUCUUUAAAGUUGCUCUCUUAGAAGUGAAGAACAGAAUAAUGAGUA